GCCUGAUGCACAUUUGUCAUUGAUUGAACUUGUUCUGCAGCUGAAAUUACUGGUGCACAAUCAAAAGCUUCAGGAACAUGGUAAUGAAAGGACGGAAGAAGCCUCAAGCAUGAGAGAUACUGAACAGAAGAAAGAUGCCUCUUUGGAAUCAGGAAAUUUUGAUAAGCCUAAGAAAAAGGAAAAUAUUUUCGCUGUUGACGUGGAAAUGCUGAGUGUAUCUGCUGGG
RNAcentral lists this unclassified non-coding RNA (226 nucleotides) under Hevea brasiliensis (rubber tree). Lineage: Eukaryota; Viridiplantae; Streptophyta; Magnoliopsida; Malpighiales; Euphorbiaceae. The record is from RNAcentral.